RNAcentral lists this long non-coding RNA (3075 nucleotides) under Mustela putorius furo (domestic ferret). RNAcentral describes it as "lncRNA (ENSMPUG00000031036.1)". Lineage: Eukaryota; Metazoa; Chordata; Mammalia; Carnivora; Mustelidae. The record is from RNAcentral.
GGAAGAACUCCACAAAACAAAAUAUACAUGGAAAAAUUGCUCCCUUGUUUCAAAAUAUUUACAGCUGAACAUCUCCAGGCCACCCAAAGUGUGGCGGUCAGUGGUCCAUGCAGAGCCGGCUGCAUGGUGAGAGGGCCGGUGGGGAGGGCCGUGGGGUGCGGCGCGGGGGUCCUGGAAGAGGGAGCCGGCUUCUCGCCUGCCCUCCCGGUUAGUGUUGGCUCCGGGGACGUGGCCAUGAGAACGGUUUCCACUGAAGCCGUCCUCCACGGAAACCACAGAGACUAGGUAACCUUUCCUCUGUCGAGGUAGAAAAAAGCACGCUUGUGUGAGCGUGUAGGGGAAGGGCAGGGAAUGUGGACAGAGAGGGAGGGGUGGUGUAAUAACUCUUUAGUCAUAAGACUUGCCAGUUGGUAGUUACUAGUAUUCCAGACACUUCCUAAUGCCAGACAAAUGCCCCAAGCCUCGGCAUGUCUGGCUCGGAGAUCUAUUCAUCCGAUAGCAGCCCGGCUCUUGCGGGAGACAGAUCUCUGGGCAGCCGCGCUCCGCCGCUAAUCAAACACAACAUUGUUCUCCGCGGGAAGAAUGGGAAGGUUUGUUUCAGAGUCACAACUUUUUUUUUUUUUUCUUUUCUAAGAGGCACCCUAGUUGUUUUAACAAGUUGCUACAAAACUUGGUCUUCCUGAGGUGAGGCUGUGGCGCACAGUGCCUGCACUGUACCAAAAUCCAGGGAGGGAGGGGUCAGAGUUAGUCAUUAAAAAGGGAAGAAAAAAAAAAAGCCCCAGGCACUUCAUGCCUGGAAAUGAUGUAACAGGCAGCCACUCCUCUGUUAGAACUACAACCAAACAAUGCUCAGGCAGUCCACGGCAGCUGCUCUCCAAAUGUCAGCGCCAGCCCCGUCCAAAGAGCUUGAAAGGCAGCAAGCUGGAGGGUUUUGUGCUGUACCUUUCUCGCCCACAUUUUCCCCAAGCCCUCCCAGGAACCUGGCAACAGCCAGCUUCAUCUCCCCCUGCCACCUCCAUACUUCGCCUCCCCACCCCCCGCCCGCCAAGGAGCUGAGAAAAAGGCACUGCCUCCUGGCAGCCCUGCUCUCGAGUGCCGCCUUGUGGCUAAGCUCAGAAUAUCACCGAAGUACCCUGAAACCCGCGGCUCAGCUCGAGGCUGAAUGCCAUCUGCACAAAAGAGCUCCUGUUGACAUCUCAUUUACAAUCUCCCCCAGGACACAGACAAGACCAUUUCAAUAAACCCGGCUCAGAAACACCUAUUGUUCGAAAUCUUCAACUAGCCACAGGCUACCACCACUCCCUAUUGUUUUGUAAAAGAAAAGAUUUAGAAGGAGAAAGAUUGCCACUGUGGAAGCUCUGAAAAGAGGAAGGAAAAAAGUCCUUUGACCCGAUGCUGUCAGAGAGCGUGCAUGAAGAAUAAAGUUAAUGGAUUUCCAUUUUUAUAAGAAGUGCCUAAGAAAUGCCUGUUAAGUUUCUGAACUGGGGAUGGGGAAUUCUAAAUUCAACGCCAACUUUGUGUGUAUAAGAAGUGAACCCCUGCCAACGGGUUUGCUAAAUGAAAUGCCAUAGGCUAUACUUACCCUAUUCUCAGCCCUACAAAAGCCCUGUUAGCACCAAUAGCAGAGCACCAGGUGAGUCUUUGAUCUGGGCUGUUGCCCUGGGAAUUAGAGCUGGACUGUCCUUUCCAAGUAGAAUUUCCAGGCUCAGAGCCCACUCCUCCCUGUUAAUGAUUUCUUUCUUUUUCAUCGCCCCGUUUUGCUCCCUCUUUUAGUAAAAGUUGAACACUCUCUGGAGUUAUGUAAUGUCCUUAGAUAGUUGUUCUUCACUAUGCUUCAAAUUCAGGGAUAUAUUUGUGUUUACCCCCCAAAAGGGGCCCUCUUCAUCUGCUCCUUAUCUUGACCCUUGUAAUACGUCUUGCAGUUAACCUUACCUAUCUCUGCAAAUGAUCCCUUUAUCUACCCAGAGCUCAAGCCCACACUGGGCAUUAUCUCUAAUUCCUUUGAGUCCAAUCCCCUCUUAAAUCCGUCUGGAAUCCUUCUACCUCCUGCAAACCAGCUUUCUGCUUUCCUAGAUGCCAUUACAAUACUCCCCUCCUGAGGAUCACAGCAACUUCCUAACUCACGGUUUCUCUAACCACCAGUUGUGACUUAUUCAGGGGUCAUGAAACCAAUUGAGGCGGGUCAUGCAGUUUCACCACUUAAAAAAAUGAAGUAGAUUAGAAAAUGUGAGAUUGCAUCAGACAAAGGAAAAAGUACUGUUUUGUGAGAUUUGUUUCAGUUUGUGUUUGCAUCUGGAUCUCUGUACGUUCUGGGCAACAGGUAAAAACGGAUUUUGUUUGCCACGAUAUUCUGAGAAAUACUUUUCUGAUUGCUCUCACUGGGUCUGCCUGAUGCCUGCUUCAGGAGCCUGCUUCACUGCUGGAUACACUUGGAGCAAGGGUUGAAGACACUGAACAGAAGCUGUCACUCCAAACGACAGGUCUGCCCACAGGAGAGUCUCGGGCUUUGGAGAGUCUGAGUAACUGGGCUCCUGCUCACUUUUCAGAAGGGCCUUGGAACUCUGCAUCCUGACUGCUUCUACUCUUCAUUAUUAAAACCAUCAAGUUCACGGGAAAGUUAAAGGGACUUAGAAAAUAAAACAGCCUCCAUAAUGGAUUCCUGCCCAGGCAAGUCCAGACAUUUAAAGGAAUAGUCUUGCUGUUGUUUGCUAUCAUAUGGAGAGAUGUUAAGCUUUCCUUUUUAUAUUGGAAAUGAAAAAGUAAAGAAAUCUGCACAUGCCGACCAUCCCUGAUAGUGGUCAUUUCACGAAAGCCCAUGAGACAGACACAACCUUCCUGAAGUUGCCAGCAAGCACAUCCUUAUCCCUUCCUUAGUGUUGGGGCCCUGCCACCGCUCUGCAUCUUGCUGGGAAGAGAGGUGGCCCCAGUUCUUGCAACUCCUCCCCCAAAAUCCCGUGCCUGAACCGCACUAAAAGAAGUCCCUGUUUUUUCGCUGGGUGCCUUAAACUUACUUAUGUUAUGGAGUCUGGGUCUAGAGAACCUGCUCCAUUAAGUGGAAGGGCUACAGAAAUUCAC